GCAGCUAUAGCUCAAUUGGAUAGAGCAUUUGACUACGAAUCAAAAGGUUGCAAGUUCGAAUCUUGUUAGCUGUACCA
RNAcentral lists this transfer RNA (77 nucleotides) under Clostridiales bacterium. RNAcentral's name for it is "tRNA-Arg". It matches the Rfam family "tRNA". Rfam says of the family: Transfer RNA (tRNA) molecules are approximately 80 nucleotides in length. Their secondary structure includes four short double-helical elements and three loops (D, anti-codon, and T loops). Lineage: Bacteria; Bacillati; Bacillota; Clostridia; Eubacteriales. The record is from RNAcentral. RNAcentral also lists the same sequence under 1 other name.